CUCUACAGUAUUAAGAUUAAGAAAUCAAAUAUGCUAUAAAAUGUAAAUACACUGAACUCAUUUGGAUAUAGUUAAGUGAGACUCUACAAUAUUCUUUGACACAAAUCUAUCUAAAUCAAAAUUUUAAUCAUUUUUUACUCCAAACAUUUACUGGACUGAUUUAAAUAUUAAAAUCACUCCUUUCUAAUCCUCUGCUGUACGUUCAAACCUGAGGCCUUAAAUAGAAACACACAAGUAUCUGAUUGAAGGAACUUCUGCAGAGUCCUGGUUCCAGAACAUGAUGAUAGAAUUAUAGACAAACUUUAACAAAAGCUGCCUGAGAGUUUACAGGUUUUUAUGUGAGAUUUCUUUAGUAAUUUAAUGAGAGUUAUCAGCAAAAAUCAAGUGUUCAUUUGAUGAACUUCAUUUCCUAAAACAUCCAGAAUUGGAGCUCAUAUCUUUGGCAGCUGUAAAGUUUCUGCUCCUUCAAAGUUUACAACACAAUGAAUUCCUAAAACACUCUCAAUGCUGGAGAGCGUUUGUGAUGCUGAAGCAAUGACCACUUUUUCUGUUUCUUCUCUGGAGAUGCACAAUGAGGGACGUCUGCAGCGACUGAGAAAGAGUCUCACCACAUCCUGACAUGAGGAAAAAGACUUUAUUGAAGACUACAAUGAGAAAAACUAUCAGACAUCAGACGGCUGCAUUCAAGAGAGGAAGACCAUCAAACAUCCACGUCAGCUGAUGGAGGUCCAAGAGUCUCACCCAACAAACAACCUACAGAAUGAAGACCUCCAAUCUGAUUGGACGGCCUCCUAUUCAGCCACGUAUAAGACAAGUACAAGAUUCUUCAGAGCCGUUCUACCAUGAGCCUGACAGGAAGAACUCCAACAGCUACUGAAUGUUCCUGUGGUUCCCUCAAGGCUACAGGAGGAGUCCUACGAGGACGAGCCGGUCCACCUGAUGGCGGCCAGUCGCUGUGAUUCAAAGCCAACACCGACUAUGUGGACUUCUACUGGACCACACGGAGGCCUUCAAACCGGACCAACAAGUUCAGCGACUCCCCGACUCGUGGGUCUGAGGACGCCGCCGAGCCUCGGUCCAGCCGGCCUCCUGUCUGUGGGUGUUUGAG
This is a long non-coding RNA of Amphiprion ocellaris (clown anemonefish), 1108 nucleotides long. Lineage: Eukaryota; Metazoa; Chordata; Actinopteri; Pomacentridae. The record is from Ensembl.